Molecule: non-coding RNA, 45 nt
Filed under: Schistosoma mansoni
Lineage: Eukaryota; Metazoa; Platyhelminthes; Trematoda; Strigeidida; Schistosomatidae
Source: RNAcentral
AUUCAGCUGACGAAAUCCAAAUAGGACGAAACGCGCGUCCUGAAU